This 253-nucleotide ribosomal RNA is filed under the name uncultured bacterium. RNAcentral describes it as "partial 16S ribosomal RNA". It matches the Rfam family "Bacterial small subunit ribosomal RNA", at positions 524 to 776 of the family's 1533-position model. The record is from RNAcentral.
UACGGGGGGAGCAAGCGUUGUUCGGAUUUACUGGGCGUAAAGGGCGCGUAGGCGGCACCGCAAGUCGACUGUGAAAUCUCCGGGCUUAACCCGGAAAGGUCAGCCGAUACUGCGGGGCUAGAGUGCAGAAGGGGCAACUGGAAUUCUCGGUGUAGCGGUGAAAUGCGUAGAUAUCGAGAGGAACACCUGCGGCGAGGGCGGGUUGCUGGGCUGACACUGACGCUGAUGCGCGAAAGCUAGGGGAGCGAACGGG